This 301-nucleotide ribosomal RNA is filed under the name uncultured bacterium. RNAcentral's name for it is "partial 16S ribosomal RNA". It matches the Rfam family "Bacterial small subunit ribosomal RNA", at positions 509 to 807 of the family's 1533-position model. The record is from RNAcentral.
CAGCCGCCACGGGAAAACGAAGGGUGCUAGCGUUGCUCGGAAUUACUGGGCGUAAAGGGAGCGUAGGCGGAUCGUUAAGUUGGGGGUGAAAGCCCGGGGCUCAACCUCGGAAUUGCCUUCAAUACUGGCGAUCUUGAGUAUGGAAGAGGUAUGUGGAACUCCGAGUGUAGAGGUGAAAUUCGUAGAUAUUCGGAAGAACACCAGUGGCGAAGGCGACAUACUGGUCCAUUACUGACGCUGAGGCUCGAAAGCGUGGGGAGCAAACAGGAUUAGAUACCCCUGUAGUCCCUGUCUCUUAUAC